Molecule: long non-coding RNA, 1002 nt
Organism: Clupea harengus (Atlantic herring)
Lineage: Eukaryota; Metazoa; Chordata; Actinopteri; Clupeiformes; Clupeidae
Source: Ensembl
CCAAGAGCAGCAAGCAAAGGGGCUCUGAUGGUCAUAUUAACCACACACACACACAGACACACACACACACACGGACCGAUUAGCCACACACUCCACAUUCAAGUCGCUGUUAAAGGAGGCUUGGGGACCUAAAGAGAGACACACAUACGCAUCACAUCAAGGAACAAAGGAUGCUUUGGAACAGCAUAUUCUUCGUCAUCUUUUCUCUUGUUUCAGUGGAGAGAUGUGAGGCAGAGAGGACAAGAAAACUUGUUGGAAAGAUGGCCAUCUUUAACUGUCCAUAUGAUACUGCGUACAAAGACUCCCCCAAAUACCUUAAGAAGCGAGACCAUAAUGUCAGUAUCACACUCAUUAGAUCUGAUGGAUGGAUGGGUUGGACUACGGUUGGGCGAUACAAGUUGAAUGAUGACAAAAACAGUGGCAAGUUUGAUGUGCACAUUUUCCCCUUGACCCUCAAUGACACUGGGACGUAUGUGUGUGGAGUGGAAGCAGCAGAAGACAGAGAUGGGCAGGAGACCAAGCUUGAGGUUCAUGAAGAGACAGAACCCACAAAAGCGAGAGUUGCCGAAACAACCACCUUUCCCCCAGUAACAGUUGUAUCCAUCCGGUCUGCAUCCCCAGCUCCUGGUGACUUAGUGCAGAUCAGCACAGGUGUGGCAGUGGUUGCAGCCGCAGUGCUGGUGUUCACACUGAUCCUACUCUACAUCCAGAAGACAAAGAGAAGCGAUAGACCAUCAGAGGGGCCCCAACUUCCGCUCAGUUUGACUAUGACAUCAAAUGAAAUAACUAUCCCACAGGAAAACAUUUAUGCUGAAGACACAACUUAUUCUCAGCUGGCUGGCUCCGAUGUGACCAACCCCCCUGUUGUCAGCAGCCAGCCAAUGACCCGCACGGGCACCACCAAUCAGAGACUAACAAACUCACAAGCCCCUAUCUACUCCCUUUUUACCUUUCCAAACUCACAAGCCCCUACCUAAUCCCCUCACUUUAGGCCUUCACCCA